RNAcentral lists this ribosomal RNA (458 nucleotides) under uncultured bacterium. RNAcentral's name for it is "bacterial SSU rRNA". It matches the Rfam family "Bacterial small subunit ribosomal RNA", at positions 127 to 596 of the family's 1533-position model. The record is from RNAcentral.
UGCCCCUUCAUUCCGGAUAAUAGUUGGAAACGACUUGCAAUACGGGGGAGGCUCCAACCCAGGCAUCUGGGAUGGAACAAACGAGUUAAAUCGGUGUGGGGAUGAUCUCGCGGCUUAUCAGGUAGUUGGUGGGGUAACGGCCUACCAAGCCUACGACGAGUAGCUGGUCUGAGAGGAUGGUCAGCCACAUUGGAACUGAGACACUGUCCAGACUCCUACGGGAGGCUGCAGUCGAGAAUCUUGGUCAAUGCACGAAAGUGUGAACCAGCGACGCCGCGUGCAGGAUGAAGGCCCUCAGGGUCGUAAACUGCUUUUAUGGGGGAGAAAUAAAUGAUGUUACCCCAUGAAUAAGCCACGGCUAACUACGUGCCAGCAGCCGCGGUAAUACGUAGGUGGCAAGCGUUGUCCGGAUUUACUGGGCGUAAAGGGCAAGCAGGCGGACUGUUAAGUAGGAAGUG